This 460-nucleotide ribosomal RNA is filed under the name uncultured bacterium. RNAcentral describes it as "partial 16S ribosomal RNA". It matches the Rfam family "Bacterial small subunit ribosomal RNA", at positions 338 to 795 of the family's 1533-position model. The record is from RNAcentral.
CCUACGUGUGGCAGCAGUGAGGAAUAUUGGUCAAUGGGCGGAAGCCUGAACCAGCCAAGUCGCGUGAGGGAUUAAGGCCCUGCGGGUCGUAAACCUCUUUUGCCGGGGAGCAGUGGUCCGGACGCGUCCGGACCGGGAGAGGACCCGGAGAAAAAGCAGCGGCGACCUCCGUGGCAGCAGCCGCGGUAAUACGGCGGAUGCGAGCGUUAUCAGGAUUGAGUGGGUUUAAAGGGUGCGUCGGCGGGCACUUAAGCCGGCGGUCACAUGUCGGGGCUCAACCCCGGCCUGCCGUCGGAACUGGGUGCCUUGAGUGGGCGAGACGUAUGCGGAAUGCGUGGUGUAGCGGUGACAUCCAUAGAUAUCACGCAGAACCCCGAUUGCGAAGGCAGCAUACCGGCGCCCUACUGACGCUGAGGCACGAAAGUGCGGGUAUCGAACAGGAUUAGAUACCCCAGUAGUC